UUGCAUCGAUUGGAGAACGCAGCUAAUUGCGCGUCAACAUGUGAACUGCAGGACACAUGAACAUCGACAUUUCGAACGCACAUUGCGGUCCUCGGAUACUGUUCCUGGACCACACCUAGCUGAGGGUCGUA
This 131-nucleotide ribosomal RNA is filed under the name Lytta caraganae. RNAcentral's name for it is "partial 5.8S ribosomal RNA". It matches the Rfam family "5.8S ribosomal RNA", at positions 28 to 154 of the family's 154-position model. Rfam says of the family: 5.8S ribosomal RNA (5.8S rRNA) is a component of the large subunit of the eukaryotic ribosome. Lineage: Eukaryota; Metazoa; Arthropoda; Insecta; Coleoptera; Meloidae. The record is from RNAcentral.